UGGGGAAUUUUGGACAAUGGGGGAAACCCUGAUCCAGCCAUCCCGCGUGUGCGAUGAAGGCCUUCGGGUUGUAAAGCACUUUUGGCAGGAAAGAAACGUCAUGGGUUAAUACCCCGUGAAACUGACGGUACCUGCAGAAUAAGCACCGGCUAACUACGUGCCAGCAGCCGCGGUAAUACGUAGGGUGCAAGCGUUAAUCGGAAUUACUGGGCGUAAAGCGUGCGCAGGCGGUUCGGAAAGAAAGAUGUGAAAUCCCAGAGCUCAACUUUGGAACUGCAUUUUUAACUACCGUGCUAGAGUGUGUCAGAGGGAGGUGGAAUUCCGCGUGUAGCAGUGAAAUGCGUAGAUAUGCGGAGGAACACCGAUGGCGAAGGCAACCUCCUGGGAUAACUCUGACGAUCAUGCACGAAAGCGUGGUGAGCAAACAGG
Molecule: ribosomal RNA, 429 nt
Filed under: Acidobacteriota bacterium
Lineage: Bacteria; Pseudomonadati; Acidobacteriota
Description: Acidobacteria bacterium partial 16S ribosomal RNA
Rfam family: Bacterial small subunit ribosomal RNA
Source: RNAcentral